Molecule: ribosomal RNA, 493 nt
Filed under: uncultured bacterium
Lineage: Bacteria
Description: bacterial SSU rRNA
Rfam family: Bacterial small subunit ribosomal RNA
Source: RNAcentral
GAUCAUGGCUCAGGAUGAACGCUAGCGGGAGGCCUAAUACAUGCAAGUCGAACGGUAACAGGUAGCAAUACGCUGACGAGUGGCGCACGGGUGCGUAACGCGUACACAAUCUGCCUUAUACUGGGGCAUAGCCUUUGGAAACGAAGAAUAAUUCCCCAUAACAUAUAGAAGAGGCAUCUCUUUUAUAUUAAAGCUCAGGCGGUAUAAGAUGAGUGUGCGUCCGAUUAGGUAGUUGGUGAGGUAACGGCUCACCAAGCCAACGAUCGGUAGCUGGUCUGAGAGGAUGAUCAGCCACACGGGCACUGAGACACGGGCCCGACUCCUACGGGAGGCAGCAGUAGGGAAUAUUGGACAAUGGGCGCAAGCCUGAUCCAGCCAUCCCGCGUGAAGGAUGAAGGUCCUCUGGAUUGUAAACUUCUUUUCUUCGGGAAUAAAAACUGGGGUUCUCCUCAGCUUGAAGGUACCGAAGGAAUAAGCACCGGCUAACUCCGUG